Molecule: long non-coding RNA, 2671 nt
Organism: Ictalurus punctatus (channel catfish)
Lineage: Eukaryota; Metazoa; Chordata; Actinopteri; Siluriformes; Ictaluridae
Exons: 7
Source: RefSeq, a predicted model, not a curated record
GUUUUGAGGUAGCAGUAAUGUUAAGUACGAAAAUGGAACCAGGAACUCCAACUCCCAGAAUCCCCUGCUUUAAGCCACACCCACAGUUCACCUGCUUGCUAAUAAAUCUCACCUGGUAGGUGAUUAGUUCUGUUUGGUGGUUAGUUUUUCUAUCUAGUCUGAGUGUCCAGUUUAAUCAACGUGUUUUUUUUCCAUCUAGUUUCCUUCAUCCCUUUUUAAUAUUUUUAAAUUCUUUAUUUUUUUUUUGUUUUUAAGUUUGUUUCGUGUUUAAUUUUUGUCAGUGUUUCAUCCAGUUGUUAGUUUCUUAAUCACCCCCCCCCCCCCCCCUUUUAAAAUCCAUUCUUGCUGCAGUAGUCUAAGGCUGAGAGACUUCAGAGGCACGUGAGCCGUGGAUCAUUUGGACGCAGUAAAAUAUUCUGCUGCCGAGUAAAACUGAGGUGGUGUCACGUGCAGGGGACACAGGAGAGACGGUGUACCUGAACACGGUGAUCUAGACUGUUCUGCUCUUAUGGUUCCAGGUGCAUGUAAAACAAUCAGCUGUUGUGUCAGGAUGUGAGAUGCGGCCACGCCUCAAAUCAUCGUAGAAGAGGGAACAAACCCAAGCAAGCCACCCACGUGGUUACCAAAGAGCGUGCCAUGUCCCAAUCCAACAUAACGCAGUUUUCCCUGCUCCUGUGAUAAUUUGUCUGGACUCCAUCGUGCUCAGGUGCUGCUAUCCGUUUCGGAUACGACAAUCCGUCCGUCCGUCUCGGCGUAAUCAGACGCUCGGAUUCAGCAGCACGAGAACCAUCACGGAGCAAUCAGAUGGCUAUGAGGCCGCGUCGGCCAUCUGCUUUCCCCUUUUAUUAAGUUGUUGGAGUCGAUACGCUUGUUUGGAGUGGACUUUCACACCCCUCUGAUCCCAGGUCCCAGUUCACUCUUGGUGUGUUUACUCAGAAGAACGUCUGAACAUCCGUCAAAGCGCAGCGCAAUCUCGCGUAUUAGCUGAAGUGGAGAGGAAGAGGAGCAAAGGAUGAGGUAAAGUUGAGGAAAAGCAGAAGAAGGAAAGAGUCAGUGUUCACACCACCAGCCAGUGAUGAAGCUAGAAGAAAACAGAAAACACAUGAGAACAUCACAUGCAGCUCUUAGGAUUUGUUUUGGUCAAGUGCAAAAGUUAGCAUCCCCUAAGAAGUAAAUGAAGAAAAGUUAUAUGAAAGAAAAGCAAUUUUUCUAAAAAUUAUGUAGCAGAAAUGGUUCAAUUGUGCAUGUUUAAGACGAGCUUAAAAGUCUCAUCUGAACGUACCGUGAACUGUCGCACUUCACCGCGCUCCACCAGGUGAUGCUCCGUCUCUGGCGUGAUUGCGUACGCCAGUUUCUACAACCAGAAAACAAAUGAUUCAAAACAAUUUAGUCAGAAGUUGGCGACACUCGAAGCAUUUCGAAACCUUCAGGGUUCUGUGGUUGUGCCUCUGAGGGAAGCUUACAACAAAGCGGUGUCCUCUCGUAAAUGGUUCCAAGCAGGAUCCUUUAGGAAGCUAAGAAGCCAGAGAGCACUUGAAGAACUCCCCGAGGAACCCUUUUUUCAAACAGUGUGGGUAUUAACUCGGUAAGUGUGCGGUACAAACCGGAAAUUAUUGCCCAUUAUUGUCUCUCUUAAUCUCUAGAACUUUUCAGGAGUUUAACAUUUUAGCUCUUGGUACCUUCUAUACUAGUAGGUUAGAGGGGGAUGACAUGUACCACCAGGGAACCACCGUAAGAUGCUUAAGUACAGCCAGAAAGUUCCGAACAUAUAAACACUUAACGUAAGCACUGCGGUGGACCUACGGUGCAGAAGCUUCCGGGCAGGACGCAGAACUUGUAGAUGGCGUAGAUGGGAACCAUGAUCAUGGAGGAGAUGGACAGACACCAGCCGAGCAUGUUGGCCCAUGUGGGGAACGAGUAGGAGCCGUAUUUCGGGGGGUUGAAGGUCGCGAAGCUCACCACCACCAUGAACUAGAUACAGGGUGGAAAAGGGAGAAAAUGCAGGAAUUCGUGUACGACAGGUGGGGGGAAAAAAACAACCACAACUCUUGACCAAUCAGACACCAAACAGGUUUAACGUUUUACUCAUUUCUCUAGUCAAGCUCCAGUGCAAAGAUAUUUAAAUACAAAAAAAGAAAUAUUAAUAAAUGCUUGUUCUGUUUCCCUUUAAGGUUUCUGGCUUUUCUUAAAUGCAAGCUAGUUAGCUAAUCAGCUAUUUGAUCAGUCGUUAGCUGGUAAGUUUAAUACUAAUAAUGUUGGCUAGGGAAACGAUACUUGUUUGCUUUCUAAACUAGUUAUUUUGGAGCUAGCAAGUGUUAACUAGCUCUCUAGGUCUACAGGUAUGAAACUAUUUUUAAGCUAACUUCAUUAGCAUUACGUGGAUCUACAAGCACUAGCAUGUGGCAAUAGUGUUUUGUUUUUACAACCUGGAGGUGAAAACAUAAGCUUAGUCAAGAGUGGUGCUUUCGGGAACUCUGAACCUUUUGGUAACUAGCGCUGGUUUAGCGCGGUUAAUUUCCAGCUGCAUAACCACCAAAACUUCUAUAAGUGAUGAGAGAGAGUCGUGUACCAGCAGGAAACAGGGACUGACGUAUUUCCAGCAGAGUCGCCAGUAAAUUCCUGGUCGUUGCCCAAUCAUCUCCUGGAUAUCGUCACUGAAACGAUCCACACC